GCCGCCGCGCCGCCCCCCGGGUCUCCAGCGCGGUUCACAUGAAGCAUAAUCAACUCAAGAUCAUCUAUUUUGUCCCAAAAGGCAAAAUUUCAUCUUUUCAAAUAACUGAGCAUCCAAUUGAACAAAUUCCAUAAUUUCUUUCUGCAGUCAUCUGCUGCUGGGCACUUACGUUGCUGUGGAUAAUGCUGCUAUGAACAAAGGGCCAGCCCCCCUCCCUGACAGAAAUGAAAGACGAAGAGAGACGUGCAGCGGGGGAGAAAGGACCCUCUCCGGAGCUUCGUCCAGCUCCCGGCAGCUCCUGACCUCCUUGCCUCACCCGUCACUGAAUGCCACUGAAUGCCACGGAGGUGCUGGGUGCCCCCUUGAUUUGAAUCCCAUGCAGAGACCCCUCAGCCGUCUGCGCAUCUGUCCUGCCCGGGACACAGCCCCGGGCCGCCGGGCCGCCACGUGCCCGCACAGCCUGUUCCGGCUGAGCCCGCCUGGGGCUGCUUGGGCCCAGCCCGGGUGAUCUCCUGCAUCAUGUGCUUGGCCCUUCGGGCUCAGACUCUUCCUGUUCUCCUUUCAAAAUGACCUCCCCACAGUCUUUGAUUUUACCCCUGCCCAGCUGUCCACCUUGUGAGCUGUCAUUAGCGUCACCCAUUCCUGAGCACCUGCUGCUCUUGCAAAGUUGAGGAGCCGCCCCCGCCCUACCAGUCCUGGCUGUUGCCAGAGAAAGAGGCUGGGGUCACACCACUGAUUUCCCAGCACAGAGGGCAACUCCUUUGUAGGGCACACCCUGGGGGCAGCUGUUCCUCUGUGGGCUCCAGCACCGAUGGGGAAGCUGUGCUCAGAGGAGGCCCCGAAGCCACGUUUGAGGCUCUGCCAGGGGCUGUCCCUGUCUCCAGGCCGGGGACCUCGAGGGCAUAUUGGCUGUGCUGCUGGCCUUCUACCUGACUCUCGGUCCUCUCCUGGCCUCUGACUUUCUGACUUGCAAAACACAGCGAAGACUGGAAUGGUCAGCUCAAUGAAACCCUCUUUAGUGGACAAGAUCCCAGGCCGAGCUGUGGAGGCUGGGGAAGGACCCACAGUCGGCGGCAUCAGCGGAAGGGGUGCUUUAUGGUGCUGGGUCAGUCUCCGCCAUGGGUCUCCUGCAGCCCGGGUCAGGGGUUACGCUACUUCCAGCCCAUCAAUGGAUCCCGGAUCUGGUCCCACCCGUAGCCCAUGGAUAACAUCCCCUCUGCGCCAGGGGGUCUCAUAGUCAGGGGGAGUCUCGAUGUAAGGCCUGAAUUCUCUUCAUGCCGCUCAGCCUUGCGACCUUACCUGCUGGGGCCGAGGGCUGUGGCACGUUCUGCUCAGCACCCACCUGGCAGUUCUAGGCCGGCUCCUCCACUGAGAGGCGCAGGUGUGGGCGUCCUGCAGAGGGUGCCCCACCCCCAGCCUCCACACACUCAGCUUGGGGCCACUGUGCUUUGGGUCCUGGUGAGUUUGGGUCGGCAGAAGAGGCUGCCCCAGAGGGCUUCAGCUUGUGGCCCAUGGUGGACUCGUUGCUGAAGCCAAAGUCUGCAACCCUGAUGUUCAGGUCAGUUUCCAAAAGCAGGUUGUCUGGCUUUAGGUCCCUGAGGACGCGGUCGGCCAGUCGUCCUGGGCCACCUCUUCCGGGUGGCCGUGGCCCGGCAGGUGAUCAAACAUGUCUCUCCUGCUGGGGCCCCCUGACCUGGUGGUGUUUCCAUGGUGUCAGUCACCUUUCAUAGU
Talpa occidentalis (Iberian mole) is the source of this 1731-nucleotide long non-coding RNA. RefSeq lists it as uncharacterized. Lineage: Eukaryota; Metazoa; Chordata; Mammalia; Eulipotyphla; Talpidae. The transcript has 3 exons. The record is from RefSeq and is a predicted model, not a curated record.